CAUAGCAUGCAGGGAAAGGAGCGUGGCCAAUUCAUGCAGUGCCCUUCAAGACCAACACACGGCCCUUGGGGGCUGCCGGGGCCCGACUUCAGGGAGCUAUUAUUAGAGUCACGUCAUGGGAGAGCCAGCGAGGAGAGAGGGAGGCGAAGUGACAGAUGGGGGGAGGGGAGAGAUAACGGACACAGAGCAUAGUGGUGCUGCUGAUGAUGGAGGGGAUGUAAAGUAAAGGCUGGGAAAAUACUGAUGUCAUGAGGUUCAUGUUUAACCAUGUAGCAGCAGAAAUAAACUGCAAGUCCUCCUAAUGAAACCACAAAAUACACUGUAGGUCCAUGAACCCCAGAAUGACACAUACAAGUGUUUUCUGAUCGGACGCCCCCAUCAGCAGGUUACUGUCCGAAACCGUUGCACAUCACUGUUGGAAAAUACGAUGUGACAACGCUAUGGUUAAGGUCUGGUUUGGUUUAGGCAAGCAAGUGGUAAUUACCACAUCUUGAGGUUGAAGUACCUUAAAGUGGCACCAACAACCACUGGCUCCAUUCAAAAAGCCUCAUCUUCUCUCUCGAAAUAUCAAUCAAUCAUUCUUUUCAAUAAGAUUAAAAUAAUAAGAUGUGAAGACUUAUAGAAGCUUUGAUGUCUGCCGUGUGGUCAUGGUUUGGGUUGAAAUUGUCUCACAGUUGGAAACAGGAAGUGAACUCCUGCGUUACCAUUCAAUGUUUACAUGGACUCACCUGAUUUCCUCCCUUGAAAACAACCAAACAUCUCGUUUCCAUAGAAACGGUCAGGUAAGAGACUGUGCGCUGCUCUUUACUGAAGAUGGGGAGGUCAACCAGACCUACAUUUUCCUCAUCAUAGUCUUUUCUCUUGUAAAAGUAAAACAUUUUGUCUACAUAUUCCAUUAUUUCCAUUAUUUUCUCAUAUCUGGACAUCUUUGAACUCUCAUAUAACUUAAUAUUGUAUUUGCAAGUGCAUGUAGGGGUUAGUAUCCUGUAGGCCUUCCAGAGCAUUGGUACAUGUCCGCAAGAUGAAAUGAAGCACAUCAAGUAAGGUCAGCAGUUGUGAGAAAUCAGGAAUUUCUCAAUGAAUGAGAUUUUGAUGUCGGCCAGGGAUGACUCAGCUCUGACCUGCACACUAGUGAUUAUACUCUUUGAUCCUACAGGUACGUAUAAAGUAUACAAGCAAGGACAUGAACAGAGUACAUAAAACAUCUUGUUGUAUUUUUGCACCUAUAUAAUGGCCACAAAAAUUGACACGUUUGUUAAAUGUACUUUUCCCAAUGUGGUGAGUAUCUUUGAUUUCAUAGUCAGUUGGUAAAACGUAUUGUAUUGUUGCUAUGGUUACAUGAGUAGCUGAGUUCCUGGAACUGUUUCAGAAUCAGUUUUAUUGGCCAAGUAUGUUUAAACCUACAAGGAAUUUGACUCCAGUUUCUAGUGGCUCUCAAUGUAUUUAAUGGACAAAAAGUGUUUUGUGAGGCUACAAGAUAAAGGGCCGUACGAGCAGUUUUAUAUGCUGUGUUAUUGACACAGUUGACUCAAGGGAGCAGUGAGAUGUUUUGUUGUCUGGAUAAGAUUCUUUAUGAUCUGUCAGCAGGACGUGAUUUGACGACGGCUCGCUCUCAAGGUUCAGUGUAAAUAAAGAAACAUCAGCUGGCAGCAUCAAUGUCCAAACAGCAGUUUCAUCAUCAUAACACUGACCUAAAUGGGACACGUUGUCAAUGAGCUGAUCGAUAGGAGCACUUAAGAUGGCAGUAAGUCAGCGAGCACAGUGACAUAUUGAUGCCAGAGGAGAUUCUGUGCAAGCUGAGCGGGUGAAGGAGAGACGUGCUGGCAGGUUUGACAACUGAUCGCUGUCUUCAGAUAACAGGAAAACCUCCGAGGAAGAUGGGCAGGGAAAAGGAGGAAACUUUUAGAUUUCAUUUGACCUCUGGCCUUUCUUCAAGCGCCACCUUCAGGACAAAGUUGACGUUUUUAGCUCCGCAGCUGAUUUGGAAACACUGCUGUAUCUGGGCUGAGAUGGAGGCUCACUACAUGUUGAUUCACGUGUGAGCAGAGAAGAUCCAGAAACGCUGCAGGAAGUCGACAGUGAACAGACUGAAAGCAGAUUCUCAGAUCUGCUGCAUGAAUAAAUGAUAGAUGGAGUACAGAGUCCCACAGCAGGAGGACACACAGUUUCCCUGUUUAACAGUCCGGCUGCUCCUGCCUGUACGGAGGAUAAAUAACAGUCCGGUCAGAUCGUAGUGGGACGCUGCAGAGAGGAAGAACAGUCUGAAACAUCUGUAUUCUUGUUUGUUUAUAUAUAUAUAUGACUCUAAAGGAAGAAAUAAUAUGAAUUAAACAAGAGAACACGAGGAGGAAAUGCAUAAAAACCUGCAUUCACCAAUUAUUAAAACAUGAACAUGUCCUGUACACAAUUAGUGGAACAUUUGACUUCAUACAGCUUGACGCAUGAUGUUAACUCUAGUGAGGAGGAUAAAAUAAUGCACUUUUAUUCUUGUGUUUAAUCUGUUUUAUUCUAUUGAAGCUUAUUUUUUUUAUCUUCCAUUACUUUUAUAUAUGAGGUUUUAUACUAAUAAACUCGCCCUGCAUGAUCCCGUCAGGCUCCCAUUGACGUCAUGUGUUCAGCAACAAGGAAGUUCUCUGGCUUUGUAAUUUUGUCUUUUAUCUUCUGGUCUACACAGGAAGUGGGGAUGUCUUGUGUUCUGAUCAGCUUGUGCCUGCGUUUUAUCAAAUAUCUGACCAGUUUUAUAAAAUAACAGACUGACAGAGCUGAAAGAACACAGGAGGCUUUUCUCCCUCAGCAGUCCAACAAACACUGAGUGUUAUUUACACAGCAGCACUAAUUAGAUCAUUAUAAUAGUCAUUUUAGUGUGUUUUAUUAUGUGUUUAUAAGAAUAUAAUAUCAGAACAGAAGUUAUCUGAAUAGUGUUAGUUACACUAUUACACACAGUCCAGGUUUUUUAUCGUGUAACAAGCAGAUUAUUCCAAAUAUAUUAUCAAUACAUAUGUUAUGUUACACAGUUGGAUGAAAUUAUGUGUUUGAAUUCAAAUGUAACUUUGUUUUCAAAGAUAA
Long non-coding RNA from Thunnus maccoyii (southern bluefin tuna), 3066 nucleotides. RefSeq lists it as uncharacterized. NCBI's taxonomy places the organism in Eukaryota, Metazoa, Chordata, Actinopteri, Scombriformes, Scombridae. The record is from RefSeq and is a predicted model, not a curated record. The transcript is spliced from 3 exons.